RNA transcript from Sarcophilus harrisii (Tasmanian devil), 2010 nucleotides. It is a transcript of the gene named MOK protein kinase, with no coding region annotated. The record is from RefSeq and is a predicted model, not a curated record. The transcript has 15 exons. NCBI's taxonomy places the organism in Eukaryota, Metazoa, Chordata, Mammalia, Dasyuromorphia, Dasyuridae.
UCUAUGGGAGCUGGGGACCUUGGUGGUUGCCAGGGUGACAGCAAUACAACAUGGCGGCCGGACCUAGAGGCUCGCAACCGAGGGGGCUUUAGCCUUGGGUCCGCGUCUGGGGACUCUGCCUCAGGGGACUCGGGGAGUGGAGAAGUCAUCCUUCCCUCCCCUUUCCCCCUUCUCUUCCUCCGCCUCCGCCUCAUAUCGGCGAGUGGUCUCUAAGCCACCUCAGCCCUACCCAGCCCAGCCCGGCCUGGGCCUGCCCGGACGGGCCGGAGCUGAGGAUGAAGAAAUAUAAAGCAAUUGGCAAAAUAGGAGAAGGAACAUUUUCUGAAGUUAUAAAGAUGCAGAACCUAAAAGAUGGAAAUUAUUACGCAUGUAAACAGAUGAAACAACAUUUUGAAAGCAUUGAGCAAGUGAACAAUCUACGAGAAAUACAAGCACUGAGGCGCCUGAAUCCACACCCAAAUAUUCUUACAUUGCAUGAAGUUGUCUUUGACAGAAAAACUGGUUCUCUUGCACUAAUAUGUGAACUUAUGGACAUGAAUAUUUAUGAGCUAAUACGAGGGAGAAAACACCCACUCCCAGAAAAGAAAAUAACGAACUAUAUGUAUCAGCUGUGUAAGUCUCUUGAUCAUAUGCAUAAAAAUGGAAUAUUUCAUAGAGAUGUAAAACCAGAAAAUAUACUAAUUAAGCAGGAUCUUCUGAAAUUAGGAGAUUUUGGGUCAUGUAGAAGUGUUUAUUCUAAGCAGCCAUAUACAGAAUAUAUAUCUACUCGUUGGUACCGGGCACCUGAGUGUCUCCUCACAGAUGGAUAUUAUAGCUACAAGAUGGAUAUGUGGAGUGCUGGCUGUGUGUUUUACGAAAUCAUGAGUCUGCAGCCUCUAUUUCCUGGAGCUAAUGAAUUGGACCAAAUCUCCAAAAUCCAUGAUAUUAUUGGCACACCUCCUCAGAAAACUCUUACCAAAUUCAAACAGUCAAGAGCUAUGAGUUUUGAUUUUCCUUUUAAAAAGGGAUCAGGAAUCUCUCUGAUGACACCGACUUUGUCCCCUCAGUGCCUUUCUCUGAUCUAUGCAAUGGUAGAAUAUGACCCAGAUGAAAGAAUCAGUGCCCACCAGGCACUGCAGCAUUCUUACUUCCGAGAACAAAGGAUAUCAGAGAAGCAAGCUCUUGUAACCCGCAGGAAAGUAGGAUUGACAGAACAUCUGGGAGAACCAGACUCACUCAAAAAUGUGUGGCAGAUUUCAAAGGAAGGCAAAAAACAGUAUCUAAAGCAAGUUGAAGGGCACCCAGAAAGGCAGGGAUCUACCUGUCCGGUGGAACUACCCAAACUGAAGGUCUCUGGGGUAACCAAACUCUCAUCCUACUCCAGCCCUACUCUGCGCGCAGUUCUUAGCAGCUCUGGGACAAGUGGGAAAGUACCCAUCUUAAAGCCUCUAAAAUAUAUUGGAACAAACAAGAAGGAAUAAAUAAAAAAAACUUUCUCAUGGAAAUAUGAAUCGAAUUCUGCAACAUUUGGAUGCUGGUGUCCAAGAAACAGGCGUGGGCAAAACUGGUUUACUCUUUCUUCAUCUUCAAAAGAUAAGUAAGAAAAAAUGAUGGAGGUAGAAGAACAACUCCCUGCAAGAGGCAAACUCUUAAAGCUGUAGAAGGUAAACAGUAAUUGUUUUGUCAAAGAAUAUCUUUAAAUGGUUCAUUAUGAUACCUUACUCAUAUUCCAGAUGCCAACUAAGGGCUCUCUUGUAUGACAAAAUGAUGCUUCAAAUGAGAAGGUGAUGGCUUGAAACUAGGAAAACACCAGCACUUACUCGGUUCUCCUCUGGCAUGCAUUUGACAUCCUAGGACUAAAAGUGACCAGUUUACCCAUUGGAAAUGGAAAUCCAAGUUAUCCACAAGGUAGAAAAGAUUCCAAAAGGAUUCUACCGCAGAGCAGGCAAAGAGAAACAAAAUACCAUUGGUUUAAAAUUUUAGAUGUUAGGUUUUCCCCUAAACUUCAAAUAAGAUCCUGAAUAUUUGAAA